GACGAACGCUGGCGGCGUGCUUAACACAUGCAAGUCGAGCGGUAAGGCCUGUCGGGGUACGCGAGCGGCGAACGGGUGCGUAAGAAGUGGGUGAUCGGACCGGCACUUCGGGUGAAGCCGGGGACAAUGGGUCUAAUACCGGAGAUGACCUCCUAUCGCUCGGUGGGAGGAGGAGGGAGUAUCGGUGCAGGUUGGGGGCGCGGCCUUUCAGUUUCUUGGUGGGGUAAUGGAGUCGCAAGGCGGCGACGGGUAGCCGCCCUGGGAGGGGGACCAGCCGCACCGGGACUGCGGCACGGCGCAGCCUCCUCCGGGGGGCAGCAGUGGGGAGUAUUGCACAAUGGGGGGAAGCCUGAUGCAGCGGCGCCGCGUGGGGGAUGACGGCCUCCGGGUUGUAAACCUCUUUCAGCCGGGACGAAGCGAAAGUGACGGUACCUGCAGAAGAAGCACCGGCUAACUACGUG
RNAcentral lists this ribosomal RNA (461 nucleotides) under uncultured bacterium. RNAcentral describes it as "partial 16S ribosomal RNA". It matches the Rfam family "Bacterial small subunit ribosomal RNA", at positions 28 to 507 of the family's 1533-position model. The record is from RNAcentral.